Molecule: unclassified non-coding RNA, 701 nt
Filed under: Hevea brasiliensis (rubber tree)
Lineage: Eukaryota; Viridiplantae; Streptophyta; Magnoliopsida; Malpighiales; Euphorbiaceae
Source: RNAcentral
GGGUAUUGGUUUUACAUGUACUGGGCUUACUCCAACAGUCCAACCCUCUGUUUCCCUCUUGGUUGUAUAAGUAAUGAUUUGUUGAGUAGGGGAGGGAGGUGAAAAUGAUGUUCCUCAAAUGGUGGGUUAGGAGAGAUAAAAUUGUAGUUGUUUUUUACCGCUGGAGACUUUACUGCAGACUAGCAUCGUACACCUUCAGAAGAGUACUUUGGACUUCUUGUUUGUGUAAAUGAUUAUGACUUUUAUCUUAUUCUUGCAGUCACUGCUGUGUGAUCCAAACCCUAAUUCUCCUGCAAACUCAGAAGCUGCUCGGUUGUUUAGUGAAAAUAAGAGGGAGUACAACCGGAGAGUUAGAGAAAUUGUGGAGCAGAGCUGGACUGCAGACUGAUACCACAUAUAUAGAGGUUAUUGCAACCUCAAUCAUGAGCUUUCGGGGCUCAUCUGUGUAAUAGUUCCAGACACCUAAGUCCGGAAUUGUAAUUUUAGUGGUGCACACUCAUGCUGAUCCCAGCAUAGUUUCUCUAUGCUACUCCCCCUCAAUUGUUGUUCACCGCUUGUCAAGCUCCUGUAGAUUAUGUCUUCUGGUAUUUUGGAUUUGUUUAGAUUAUGCUAUUUGCUUUUCCAACAAAGAUGGUUUUCAGAUACUUCCAUUAACUCCCAAGUUUGGAUUUAACUUGUAAGCCUCGCAAACCUAAUGUAUA